UGGGGAAUUUUGGACAAUGGGCGCAAGCCUGAUCCAGCAAUGCCGCGUGCAGGAUGAAGGCCUUCGGGUUGUAAACUGCUUUUGUACGGAGCGAAAAGGUCUGCCCUAAUACGGUGGGCUCAUGACGGUACCGUAAGAAUAAGCACCGGCUAACUACGUGCCAGCAGCCGCGGUAAUACGUAGGGUGCGAGCGUUAAUCGGAAUUACUGGGCGUAAAGCGUGCGCAGGCGGUUAUAUAAGACAGGUGUGAAAUCCCCGGGCUCAACCUGGGACCUGCAUUUGUGACUGUAUAGCUAGAGUACGGUAGAGGGGGAUGGAAUUCCGCGUGUAGCAGUGAAAUGCGUAGAAAUGCGGAGGAACACCGAUGGCGAAGGCAAUCCCCUGGACCUGUACUGACGCUCAUGCACGAAAGCGUGGGGAGCAAACA
RNAcentral lists this ribosomal RNA (427 nucleotides) under uncultured bacterium. RNAcentral describes it as "bacterial SSU rRNA". It matches the Rfam family "Bacterial small subunit ribosomal RNA", at positions 355 to 774 of the family's 1533-position model. The record is from RNAcentral.